This 284-nucleotide small RNA is filed under the name Marmota monax (woodchuck). Lineage: Eukaryota; Metazoa; Chordata; Mammalia; Rodentia; Sciuridae. The record is from RNAcentral.
UAGCCUACAUGUUAUUCGAGGAACAACUUCAGGCUGGUCAUUUAGAGCCUACGCUCAGCCCUUGGAACACACUCUUCUUUGUAAUUAAGAAAAAAUCUGGUAAUUGGAGAUUAUUACUAGACCUUAGAGCUAUUAAUAAUGUUAUAGAGCCCAUGGGAGUGUUACAAUCUGGCUUCCUUCUCCUACAAAUAUUCCUUUAGAUUAUUAUUUAAUCAUAGUAGAUAUAAAAGAUUGUUUUUCUCUAUACCUUUGUACUCAGAUAAAUGUAAAAAGUUUGCCUUUAG